Molecule: microRNA, 22 nt
Filed under: Ananas comosus (pineapple)
Lineage: Eukaryota; Viridiplantae; Streptophyta; Magnoliopsida; Poales; Bromeliaceae
Description: microRNA s0358_c18a
Source: RNAcentral
CCUGUAUGCGAUGUUAUAUAUC